GCAAUAAUGAAAGGUGUUAUACGUCGGCAACUUCUCGCUCUAAUCCGCCAUCUUGAACUACCUUAGGAGAAACUGUGUUGUUUCUUUGCUAUUUUCACUGAACAUUUCCCAAAAUAUUAGAAAAAAAUUCUAAACAAGCUACAUUGAUUCAAUUUUCGUUGUUCGUUUUAUUCUUAUUCGCUGACAUUUGUUUUCCAAUUGCGUGAAAUUUGGUCAUUUCCUUAGUGUUUCGCUGACCGACCUGUGCUGGUAUUGUGAUUAAGAGCUAAUACACAUUUUUCGGACGAUUCUGCUGUGCUGCGUUCCUGCUCCGCCUGUGUAUUGCUCUUCCCGUGUUUUAUAGUGUUGCGUUCCUGUUGCGCCUUUGCGUUGAAGUAAGUUGAAACCAGAUUUUUGUUUGUUAAAAACCUAAAACACCAUUUAUUUGCAGAUUUUUUGUAUGCUUCUGCUGUGCUGCGUUCCUGCUCCACCCGUGUAUUAGAUUGCUGCGUUCCUGUUAACAUACAUAUCGUCGCUUAAAGUACAAAACC
This is a long non-coding RNA of Rhagoletis zephyria (snowberry fruit fly), 530 nucleotides long. RefSeq lists it as uncharacterized. The record is from RefSeq and is a predicted model, not a curated record. Lineage: Eukaryota; Metazoa; Arthropoda; Insecta; Diptera; Tephritidae.